GUUACAGAAAGCUUCCUCUUCAGAGAGGCAAACAGGAAAUCUGCUUUUUUGGUUGUUUUUUUAAGUGAGUCAUGUUGAAGGUGUUUUGUGUGACAUCUCUGCCUGCGGUCCUGGACUGCCUUGUCCAUGUUACCUGUCGCGGGACCACCAGAGGCUGAUUCUGGGGUGGGUUCUGGAGGCAGCCUAGCUGAGUCAUCUAGAACAGCUACCAGCGGAAAAGAGGAAGAGAGAUUCAUUUGGAACCAUUUCUACAAUUUUGGUGGAAGAUGUGACUCAGGGCCACUUAUCCAAACACAGCAAGAUUGGAAUAUAUAAGGUCUGGGGUAGUAAUAACUGGACUAAAGUUUCCAGGGCACCCCCAUUCUGGUGCAGAUUUGGACCUGGUACCUAUCCCAUUGGUGGCAAGGGCAGCUGGAUGCUGCUGGUCUGUUGUGUCAGAGUGCUCUCGGCUGCGUGUUAGAGAAG
This 465-nucleotide long non-coding RNA is filed under the name Equus asinus (donkey). RNAcentral's name for it is "lncRNA (ENSEASG00005030977.1)". The record is from RNAcentral. Lineage: Eukaryota; Metazoa; Chordata; Mammalia; Perissodactyla; Equidae.